CGAACAGAGGGAGGCAAAGCCGCGAGGCAGAGCAAACCCCUAAAAGCCAUCCCAGUUCGGAUUGCAGGCUGCAACCCGCCUGUAUGAAGUUGGAAUCGCUAGUAAUCGCGGAUCAGCAUGCCGCGGUGAAUACGUUCCCGGGCCUUGUACACACCGCCCGUCACACCAUGAGAGUCGGGAACACCCGAAGUCCGUAGCCUAACCGCAAGGAGGGCGCGGCCGAAGGUGGGUUCGAUAAUUGGGGUGAAGUCGUAACAAGGUAUC
RNAcentral lists this ribosomal RNA (264 nucleotides) under uncultured bacterium. Its description in RNAcentral is "partial 16S ribosomal RNA". It matches the Rfam family "Bacterial small subunit ribosomal RNA", at positions 1236 to 1500 of the family's 1533-position model. The record is from RNAcentral.